GUAGUCCACGCCUUAAACGAUGUAUGCUAGCUGUUGGGGCCCUUAGGGUCCCGGCGGCGAAGAGAAAUCAUUAAGCAUACCGCCUGGGGAGUACGGCCGCAAGGUUAAAACUCAAAGGAAUUGACGGGGACCCGCACAAGCGGUGGAGCAUGUUGUUUAAUUCGAAGCAACGCGAAGAACCUUACCUACCCUUGACAUACCGGUUGGGAGGACCAGAGAUGGACCUUUUCAUUUAGUUGGGCCGGAUACAGGUGCUGCAUGGCUGUCGUCAGCUCGUGUCGUGAGAUGUUGGGUUAAGUCCCGCAACGAGCGCAACCCUUAUCGUAUGUUGCCACCAUUUAGUUGGGCACUCAUAUGAGACUGCCGGUGACAAGCCGGA
RNAcentral lists this ribosomal RNA (379 nucleotides) under uncultured bacterium. Its description in RNAcentral is "bacterial SSU rRNA". It matches the Rfam family "Bacterial small subunit ribosomal RNA", at positions 790 to 1167 of the family's 1533-position model. The record is from RNAcentral.